CGCUAUAAAAGUGGAAGAUAUUCAAACUCUCACAUUAUAGGGUUUUCUCUUUGAUUUCCCUCUUUUCGCUGUUCUUGCAUUUAGAUGAGUCUUUCUGGUUGUAUAAUCUGAGUUCUUGUAGCCUUGAUAAAAGUGCGUUAGAAGUAUCUCUUGGUUAAAAGCGUAAGUUUCUUGUCUAGUUGCUGUUCUCGUAAGAUUUUGUUUGAUUGUUUGUUAAGUUCUUAUUCAGUUGAGUUUUUGGUUGAUUUUGUUAAACAAAAGUUGUUAUUUGUUGAAAAUAUUUGGUUUAAAAAUACUAUAACUAUACCGUGGUAUGCAAACAAAAAAUUGGGAAGAAUGAAGCAUCACAAACCUUCAACCUCAAAGUCGAAGGAAGCCUCUGGAUCUCAAAACCCUAACCCUACACUUGGUCAGAUUGAUGACCACUCCGAGGUUUGAGUGGUGUUGAAGAAGGAAUUGCUUCGGUUUCCAUACAAGAACACUCUACUGCUACAGCUGCAGAAAUCGUCGAGGCACCUUCGAGUUCGAGUGUUAAUGGGGACGAUGAUUCUGCAGAAAGAUUUGGGAAUUUGGCAGAAACAGAGGCUGCUUCAGAUCAUUCAGAAGAUGAAGAUGAUGACGACGCUUACAAUGUGUAUUGUAUACAAUCAGUCUUGAAUAUCAGCUUGUGAAACACACACUGAUAUUUCUAAAAAGUUUUCUUUGAUAUUCUGCAUUUAAUGCACGUAAGCAUCAUCUAUUAUCUAUUUCAUGAUUACACAA
Long non-coding RNA from Lactuca sativa (garden lettuce), 762 nucleotides. RefSeq lists it as uncharacterized. The record is from RefSeq and is a predicted model, not a curated record. Lineage: Eukaryota; Viridiplantae; Streptophyta; Magnoliopsida; Asterales; Asteraceae.